This 301-nucleotide ribosomal RNA is filed under the name uncultured bacterium. Its description in RNAcentral is "partial 16S ribosomal RNA". It matches the Rfam family "Bacterial small subunit ribosomal RNA", at positions 509 to 809 of the family's 1533-position model. The record is from RNAcentral.
CAGUCGCCGCGGUAAUACGUAGGGUGCAAGCGUUAAUCGGAAUUACUGGGCGUAAAGCGUGCGCAGGCGGUUAUAUAAGACAGAUGUGAAAUCCCCGGGCUCAACCUGGGAACUGCAUUUGUGACUGUAUAGCUAGAGUACGGCAGAGGGGGAUGGAAUUCCGCGUGUAGCAGUGAAAUGCGUAGAUAUGCGGAGGAACACCGAUGGCGAAGGCAAUCCCCUGGGCCUGUACUGACGCUCAUGCACGAAAGCGUGGGGAGCAAACAGGAUUAGAGACCCCAGUAGUCCCUGUCUCUUAUAA